UACGUAGGGUGCAAGCGUUAAUCGGAAUUACUGGGCGUAAAGCGUGCGCAGGCGGCUUUGCAAGUCAGAUGUGAAAUCCCCGGGCUCAACCUGGGAACUGCAUUUGUGACUGCAUGGCUGGAGUGCGGCAGAGGGGGAUGGAAUUCCGGGUGUAGCAGUGAAAUGCGUAGAUAUGCGGAGGAACACCGAUGGCGAAGGCAAUCCCCUGGGCCUGCACUGACGCUCAUGCACGAAAGCGUGGGGAGCAAACAGG
Molecule: ribosomal RNA, 253 nt
Filed under: uncultured bacterium
Lineage: Bacteria
Description: partial 16S ribosomal RNA
Rfam family: Bacterial small subunit ribosomal RNA
Source: RNAcentral